Molecule: non-coding RNA, 97 nt
Filed under: Chattonella subsalsa
Lineage: Eukaryota; Raphidophyceae; Chattonellales; Chattonellaceae
Source: RNAcentral
AGGUCAAACAAUUUGUCUUUUUUUUUCCCUUUCCUUUUUCUUUUCUUGUUGUUUUCCUUUUUGUUUAUACCAGGUGUCGUGAAAAAUUAUUAAAAAA